This 91-nucleotide transfer RNA is filed under the name bacterium. Its description in RNAcentral is "tRNA-Ser". It matches the Rfam family "tRNA". From Rfam's summary of the family: Transfer RNA (tRNA) molecules are approximately 80 nucleotides in length. Their secondary structure includes four short double-helical elements and three loops (D, anti-codon, and T loops). The record is from RNAcentral.
GGAAGUGUACUCAAGUGGCUAAAGAGGCCUGGUUGCUAACCAGUUAGGUCGAGUAAUCGGCGCGCAGGUUCGAAUCCUGUCACUUCCACCA